GUGACUCUUUAAGAACAGUAAAGUUGUACAGUGCAACCAUAGGCAGUCACAUACAUCAAAACAUAUGGUUCCUGCCGACAGGGUCUGUAUAGUUAUCAGAUUUUCUGUGCGAUGGCUCCAUACAUG
RNAcentral lists this small nucleolar RNA (126 nucleotides) under Cervus hanglu yarkandensis (Yarkand deer). Lineage: Eukaryota; Metazoa; Chordata; Mammalia; Artiodactyla; Cervidae. The record is from RNAcentral.